GUGCUGCCCACCCCCAGCAGUGCUGACCAUCAGUGCUGACCCCCAGCAGUGCUGGCCCCACAGUGCUGCCCACCGCAGCAGUGCUGCCCACCCCAGCAGUGCUGGCAGUGAGGACACAGCUCCCUCCUUGCUGCUGGACAUCGGCCGCAGCGGUGUCACCUCCCAGCCAGCAGGGAUGGCCACAGCUCCCGUUCCACUUCAGGCUCCCUGCGCCUCCCAUUCCACCCCCAAAGCUGGGCCAGGGGUUUGGUGGAGCAAAGCUGAGCACCUGCAGGGGAGCUGGGGGUCAUCAAAGCCAGCCCUGGAGGGUCCCCAUGGUGGCCAGAUCCCUGAGCUCAGCCUGCUGCAGGUGGUGGGGGUGGGGGGGGAAUUCUGCUUUUCAUCUUUUCUUUUCCUCAUCCUUUUGUUUGCGUCCAGAUGGGAAGAUACCAAAAGAUUUCUAGAGACAGAAGGUCCGUAGUUCAGGUGAACAGAUGGUAUUCAUGCCAAAAAAAAAAAAACAAAACAAAACACAAAAACACACACAAAAAAAAUGAAUAAUAACGAGAACAACACAACCAAA
This is a long non-coding RNA of Poecile atricapillus (Black-capped chickadee), 562 nucleotides long. RefSeq lists it as uncharacterized. NCBI's taxonomy places the organism in Eukaryota, Metazoa, Chordata, Aves, Passeriformes, Paridae. The transcript has 2 exons. The record is from RefSeq and is a predicted model, not a curated record.